This 325-nucleotide unclassified non-coding RNA is filed under the name Hevea brasiliensis (rubber tree). The record is from RNAcentral. Lineage: Eukaryota; Viridiplantae; Streptophyta; Magnoliopsida; Malpighiales; Euphorbiaceae.
GUAACUUGUUGCUAGUUUUUAUCAAUCCAUGUGCAUAUAGUGGAUCAUUCUCAUGCAUGUUUUCCACCCUUUCGUUGCUAUCAAGAAGGUGAUUAAUGUGUGGAGGUGAGUUUUAGAGGUCAACGGAAAUAGUAGCAGAUAAAUGUCAUAAAUACUGUCAAGUGUGUCAUUUUUAGCUGACCUCUUUCUUCUGGUGUUGUAAGCCACUUAGCUGACCUUUACAGAUCUUAGUUUGAUUAUCUGCAGACUCAUUGCCAAUUGAGUUGGACACUUCUCAUGAGUAUAUUGUAAAAUUAGGAGUGUCACAAACUUCAUAGCUUUCCAA